RNAcentral lists this unclassified non-coding RNA (235 nucleotides) under soil metagenome. Its description in RNAcentral is "partial contains small subunit ribosomal RNA, internal transcribed spacer 1, and 5.8S ribosomal RNA". The record is from RNAcentral.
UUUCCGUAGGUGAACCUGCGGAAGGAUCAUUACAAAAGUUAAACACUUGGGGAACGGACUCGCCUUUCGGGGCUCGAGGCCUGACUCCAUUUGUAACAAACUUUCAACCACUUGUGAAUUUGUAACAAUUAUUCUCACCAAUUGACUGUUAACGAAGUCUGAUUCAAAUUGCAUUGGUGUUUAUAGACACUAGUAAAAUAUGAAACAACUUUUGGCAACGGAUCUCUUGGCUCUC